RNAcentral lists this unclassified non-coding RNA (2235 nucleotides) under Hevea brasiliensis (rubber tree). Lineage: Eukaryota; Viridiplantae; Streptophyta; Magnoliopsida; Malpighiales; Euphorbiaceae. The record is from RNAcentral.
GGGAAGUUAUUAGCGCGAUUUCGAGAGGAUAAUAGUAAUAGUAGUAAUAAUAACAAUAGGUUAUGGUUGAUUGGUACAGCAACAUGUGAGACGUAUUUGAGAUGUCAAGUUUAUCAUUCUACUAUGGAAAACGAUUGGGAUCUUCAAGCUGUUCCUAUAGCUUCAAGAUCUCCUCAUCCAGGAAUAUUUCCAAGGCUUGGAAAUGAAAGAGUUCUUGGAAGUUCUUUGGAUCAUUUGAAUCCGCUGAAGAGCUUUGCUGGUCCGAUGCCUUCGCUACCGAGGCGUGUACCGGAGAAUUUAAAUCCGAGAUUGAGGACGUCGUGUUGCCCACAGUGCAAGGAGAAGUUUGAGCAUGAGUUGGCGAAACUUGCAUCAGAGUUUGAGAAUUCAUCAUCCGAAGCCAAAUCAGAAUCUCCUCCUCGACCUCAGUUGCCUCAAUGGUUGCAAAGUGCCAAGCUAAAGAAUGAUAGUAAAGCAACUGCUCUGUCACAGAUUAAGGAUCAAGGUCUUUUGCUGCAAAAGACUCAAGAACUUCAAAAGAAGUGGAACGAUACAUGUUUGCAACUUCAUCCUAAUUUCCAGCACAGUGUCGGGCUUCACAGAACAGUACCACCUGUUCUCUCUAUGCCAGGCUUAUAUAAUCCGAACCUGCUUUUGCGUCAACCUUUACAGCCCAAGCUUGUUCCAAGUAGAAGCCUGGGAGUGAGCCUGCAACUGAACACCACCCAAACGGCUAGCCGAUCUCCGGAGAAGGUAGCUACCCCUCCUGGAAGCCCUGUUAGGACCGACUUGGUUCUCGGGCCAAAACCAAGUGGAACUGGCCCGGAGAAAACUCUGGAAGAUCAAGCAAAGGACUUCCUCAGCUGCAUUUCUUCGGUGCCUCAGAACAAGUUACUCGACAAAUUUGCUAGUGCACUAGAUGCUGAUACGUUUAAAAGGCUUCUCAAGGGUCUAAUGGAGAAAGCUUGGUGGCAGCAAGAUGCAGCCUCUUCUGUUGCUUCUGCUGUGUCGAGGUGCAGAUUGGGCAAUGGGAAACAGCGGGGUGGUGCACCGAAGGGUGACAUAUGGCUGUUAUUCACGGGUCCUGACAGAUAUGCCAAGAGAAAGAUGGCAUCGGUUCUAGCAGAGCAAAUGUGCGGAAAUAGUCCUAUAAUGAUCUCCCUUGGCUCACAGCGAGAUGAUGAAGAGUCAGACGUAGGAUUCCGUGGUAAAACAGCUGUAGAUCGUAUUGCAGAGGCUGUUCGGAGGCAUCCACUUUCAGUUAUUAUGCUCGAGGAUAUAGACGAAGCAAAUGUGCUAGUUCGUGGGAGCAUAAAACGAGCCAUGGACAGAGGUAGGCUUACAGAUUCACAUGGCCGUGAGAUUAGUCUCGGCAAUGUUAUAUUCAUUCUUACUGGAAAUUGGUCUACAAUGAGCCCCGAGAGCUACAGGAAUGAGUAUCUGAUGGAAGAAAAGAAACUGGUCUCGCUAGCCAGUUCCGAUUGGCAGUUAAGGUUAACAGUUGGUGAAAAGAGCGCUAAGCGCAGAGCGAGUUGGUUGCAUGAUCAAGACAGACCUAGAAAAGAAUUAAAUCUAGGUCUCUCUUUCGAUCUAAACGAAGCAGCAGAGUUCGAGGAUUAUAGAACUGAUGGAUCACACAAUUCAAGUGAUCUAACUGUUGAGCGCGAAGAAGAUCCUCAUCUUGAAAACAGGCGAUUCUCAGUUACAUCAGUUCCUCACGAGCUCGUCAGCUCCGCGGAUGACACUAUCCCAUUCAAGCCAAUUGAAUUCCUGUUCGCUCGACGUGAGAUCCAGAAAACAAUCAGCAAGAAAUUCUCCAUGGUCAUCGUCGAUGACAAGGUCUCCAUCGAAGUUGAAGACGAGAUAGUAGACCGGAUCCUUGGUGGCUUAUGGCGUGGUCGAACAAGCCUAGAACAAUGGGUGGAGAAAGUUCUAGGUCCGAGUUUCGAUCAAAUCCAGCCCCGGCUACCCUCUUCCGAUGAAAACACUAUCGUUCGACUUCAGCUUGAACUUCUGCAUACAGACUCCAAUAGCCAUAACAAUGGAGAAUGUCUUCCUAGCAAAGUCACAAUAUUGGAAGAUGGACAGUAGUGAAAGUGAUAUUUUCCUCAUUCCACUUGGGUACAUUUUGUAUAUAGGGAAAAUUGUGUGGCUUUGGGACAAACAAAACAAGAUUAGAGGGGGUAAAGAAGCAAAAAAAAAAAAGAGUUAUUACCAAAAGAGUGAGAUGUUUAU